UUACAUAAGCAGAAAAAAAUAAAAAAGAUGGAAGAGAGAGAGAGAGAGUAGUGGAAAAAAUAAGCAGACGAUGGCAGAAUAGAAGGAAAAAGGAAAGCCGUGGAAGAAAGAAAAUGAAAGGGAAGAUUUGUUGUGGAGGUUAAAUUCCAAUGAUACUAACUACUUUUUGCAAACAAAUCUUAUCAAAUUCAAGGCAUAUUUGGUGGAGGGGACUGAAAUAAGAAAGGAGAUAAUCACUGUGCUUGGGAUUAAUCUUUUUCUGCAGAGCAGCAAGACAGAGGCUUGAAAAUGAGACAAGUAUUUUGGGUAUUCUGACAGAUUUUCAGUGCGCCAAGAAUGCAGUAUACAUAAUUGAAAAAAAAGAGUAAAAGGAAGGAAACUCGAGAUUGGUAAUGUGCACACUGGACUAAUUAGAAAACAUUCGCACAAUCAAAUUCAGAAGGAGAAUGGGGUUCUGAAAUGUUUAGCAGCUUCAAAUUUGUUUCGCUGAAGAAGGAACAAUGGAAACUAACAAGAGUCAAGAGGUCUUAAAACACAUUACAUGAACCCUUUGUAUACAAAAUGAGAUGCUUGUGCCAAUGGAGGAGCGAGGGAGGGAAGGAGCAUACCAGUUCAGCCGUUUGAAGCAUGUCAUCGUGGCCCCUCGAGCUGAGCGCUUUGUAAAUGACAUCCGACUCUUUGAAGGCGUCUGCUUCAAUAAUCACUGCAUUUCCUGCUGCUCCUGCCCAGAAUGAAUGUCCUUGAGCACGGUACUCUUCCCAGCUCCCAUUCCACCACCCAUGAAGAGGAGGACAGGACUUCUAUCUUUGUGAGCCACCGGAGCCAUCACGUCUGUGCAUUGUGAAUCAUCAACUG
Cornus florida is the source of this 855-nucleotide long non-coding RNA. RefSeq lists it as uncharacterized. The transcript has 3 exons. The record is from RefSeq and is a predicted model, not a curated record. Lineage: Eukaryota; Viridiplantae; Streptophyta; Magnoliopsida; Cornales; Cornaceae.